Eriocheir sinensis (Chinese mitten crab) is the source of this 1120-nucleotide long non-coding RNA. RefSeq lists it as uncharacterized. The transcript has 4 exons. The record is from RefSeq and is a predicted model, not a curated record. Lineage: Eukaryota; Metazoa; Arthropoda; Malacostraca; Decapoda; Varunidae.
UUCCUCGUCUCUAUUUUUACCACCUCUUCCCUCGUUCUUACCAUCCUCUUUAUAUCUGUCUUCCUCUUCACUUCCUUUUAGCUAUCACGAACUUCCUCCUUUUGUGCAAACUUCGAAUGUAAUCCUUCUAAUUCAACCUCAAAAUCAUUCCCUAACUUAUCCAUCAACUACACUCGCUUGGUAAUGGCGCAACAUGGCCGUCGAAACUAUUUAAAUAUCAUUGCUUCAUUUCCAGUCUCGUUCCUCGGUCAGGUGGUUCGCCAGGUUCGAGUCUCUGAUAGCUGAGGCUUCACAGGGUUUAGUGUUUAGCUAACCGCUGUGGAGGUCUAUUCCGGAUGGCUGACGCGGAUCAUGAAGAACAAGAACAACCAGUGAAGUCAAGUUGCCGGCGACCACUUGAAGAUCAGCGGCUGGGAGGAAGGAAGGAUGUCAUCUCGCAUCACUUCGGUUCUUCGUCAUGGAAUCCUGUGGGUCGUGAGGGUGGCUAUGGUAUCCUGAUCCGCCUUUUGAUAUGGAGCUGUUGGUGAGGGAAGUGUGCCUACGAGAGCUGACCACAAAACCUGCAAGUGUGACAGAGUCGAAGUGUAGAACGAAGAGGAGUUUGUCAAGUCUUCGCUAAUUGUUGAUUACUUCUGGAGGAGCGUCCCCACGUAGGCGACGGUACACUUGGGGUGUGUGUGAGAGGGAACAGGAAACUAUGCAGUGUAAGGAUGUGAAUACCAUAGUUGGAAUGUGUAAUUCACAAGUAAGGGGCACAAUAUAGAAGAGGCUGGUAUAUGGAUUCCAACUGUGGUAUUCACACCUUUACUGCACAGUUUGUUUAUUCCCUCUCGCAUGCACCAAAGUGUACCGUCACCGCCGUGGGAUGGUCCAUCUUCUGGAAGUAAUGAACAUUUGUGACGAGUCCGUUGACAGUGAAGAGGUGCAGCAGUACCUAAGAGAGAAGAGGAGGGAGAAUACUGAAAUGCAAGAGAUGUUGGAUUGAUGGCUGCUGCAGCUGCUAUCAACGUCACUGUCAUUGGAUAUCUUCUUGGCCUUCAACACUGCUGAUGGGAUCGGCAAGCACCUGCGAACAACACCAAUUAUCAAUGGAAACACAGAAACCUUUUCUAACAAAAAU